Non-coding RNA from Photobacterium marinum, 103 nucleotides. The record is from Rfam. Lineage: Bacteria; Pseudomonadati; Pseudomonadota; Gammaproteobacteria; Vibrionales; Vibrionaceae.
AUUGUUCCACCGCUGCGUAUCCUAAACGGGCUCUGCAGCGGUUAUUCUUGAAAAGUACUAGGAGUGAAUAGUGGCCCGUAUUGCAGGCAUUAACAUUCCUGAU